RNAcentral lists this ribosomal RNA (345 nucleotides) under Triticum aestivum (bread wheat). Its description in RNAcentral is "partial small subunit ribosomal RNA". The record is from RNAcentral. Lineage: Eukaryota; Viridiplantae; Streptophyta; Magnoliopsida; Poales; Poaceae.
AUGAUCAGAAUGGAUUUGAAAUGGUGCCCCAUGUUUAGCAAGCUCAAAUGCUUGUUGCUGAACAAAUGGUGUGUGGCUGAUUAUUUCACUGGAUUGGUUUACUUCCUACAGCACUCACCAAUUCUAGAGACGCUGACACUUCUGCUUGAUUUUCAAACUCACGAGAAAUGGCAUGUGAUGGAAACAUAUGGAAUCUAUGACCCAAAGGAACAAUCACCACUAUUGAAGCAUCUCAAGGUAGUCAAAAUCAUACGCAGCUCGACAAAGGAAGAUGUUAUAGUUGACCGUAUCCUAAAGAUACUCUCUGCCCAUGGAGUGCCUUCCGAGCAAAUUGACAUCCAAUAG